RNAcentral lists this ribosomal RNA (649 nucleotides) under uncultured Bacillus sp. RNAcentral's name for it is "bacterial SSU rRNA". It matches the Rfam family "Bacterial small subunit ribosomal RNA", at positions 18 to 689 of the family's 1533-position model. Lineage: Bacteria; Bacillati; Bacillota; Bacilli; Caryophanales; Bacillaceae. The record is from RNAcentral.
CCUGGCUCAGGAUGAACGCUGGCGGCGUUUCUAUACAUGCGUCGAACGCAUUGAGAAAGGCUUGCACUUUUCAAUUUGAGUGGCGAACGGGUGAUAACACGUGGGCAACCUACCUGAUAGCGGGGGAUAACGAGUGGAAACAUUCGCUAUUACCGCAUAACAAUAGAGAAGGCAUCUUCUUUAUUUAAAAGGCGCUUUCAGCGUACUAUCAGAUGGCCCCGCGGUGCAUUAUUAUUGGUGGGGUGAAGGCCUACCAAGACGAUGAUGCAUACCGACUUGACAGACUGAUCGGGCACAUUGGGACUGAGACACGGCCAAACUCCUACGGAGGCUGCCAUACGGAAUCUUCACAAGGACGAAGUCUGAUGGAGCACCCGCGUGUGUGAUGAAGGCUUUCGGUCCGUAAAGACUGUGUGGAAGAAAGCUAGCUAGGAAAUGAGCUUAGUUGACCGUACCUACCAGAAAGGACGGCUAAAUACGGCCACAGCGCGUAUACGUAUGUCCAAGCGUUUCCGAUUUAUUGGGCGUAAGGAGCGCGACGGUUGAUUAGUCUGAUGUGAAGCCCGGGCUCACCCCCGGAAUGGCAUUGGAAACUGGUCGACUUGACCUCAGAGAAGGAAUGCAAACUCCUUGUAUCCGGGCGGAUGCG